AUGGAGACGCCGAACAGCCUCGCGUCCGUCUCCGGCCCGCCGUCGACGGCGAGGCCGGCGGCCGUGGCCAGCGCUGAGCACGAUGGCAUCAGGUCCAGUAUCCCCGCGGGGAGCGGCGGCGGAGGGGCCAGCGCCGACUCGCCCGAGCAGUUCACCACGGACGACAGCGACCCGGGGCCCCCGUCCGGCUGCUGGCUCGAGGCGAACUUGGACAUGAGGCUCACGAUGUUGUUGCACAGCUUCUUCAUCUGCCCCAGCUCGCGGGUCAACCGCGCGUUAUCCCGCCGCAGCCGGUCGUUCUCCUCGCCCAUAUCGCCGGACGAGGAGCCGGCAGCGGCGCCGCCCAGGCCGGAGCCUGAGCCGGACGGUGCGGCCAGCGGGAGCUCCUCCGCGGAUCCCGAGUUGGACGACAGAACCUGCUCCUCGGAGGAGAGCUGCGGCUCCGGCGAGCCGGAGCGCGUAACCGGCAGCGCCAUAGGGAUCGCCGCAGUGGCAACCGUGACCGCCCCAGCCGCGGCGGCGGCAGCCGCAGCAGCAAGCCCGGCCGACUGGACCACCUUCCGGCGGUGUAUGUCGCAGAGCAGGCGCUUCUCGCCUCGCCGGAAGCAGUCGUUGGCGAACUCCCACCGGUCCGGCACGAUCUUCCUAAAUCCCUAUACGCCACAGCAAGCAAAAUCCAAGGAUCAACGACAUGGGCAUUCCACGCCAAAAAUCCAGAAAGGCCAAAUCCCAACCCGAGCCCGAGGAAUCAACCAACCGAACCCAUCGAGCGAGCGCACGUACGUAGGUGUUGAGCUGCCGCACGAAGCUAGAGAAGUUGUUGUGCUUGAAGUACUUGGGGAGCAGGUCCCGGGCGAACUCCGCCGGCCGCCACACCACGAACGUCGACCCGUCCUCGCCCCACGAGAUCACGUCGUCCACCGCCGGGUCCUCGACGAGCUGGUACGUCUUGGUCAGGAACGGCGUCGGCAGGGACCUCUGCCCCGCCGCGUCCGCCGACGUCGCCAGCCCCGGCAUCGGCGCCGGGAGAGGAGGCUCCGCCCCAGCCCCGUCCGCCGCCGCAGCGCCAUGCUCGGCCGACAUCACGCCGGCGCCUCCUCUGCCCCUCCCGGCCGGAUCUGGCCCGGGGAACCCCGUAGUAGCUUCCAGAUGCGGUAG
This 1158-nucleotide ribosomal RNA is filed under the name Triticum aestivum (bread wheat). RNAcentral's name for it is "partial small subunit ribosomal RNA". The record is from RNAcentral. Lineage: Eukaryota; Viridiplantae; Streptophyta; Magnoliopsida; Poales; Poaceae.